Molecule: ribosomal RNA, 465 nt
Filed under: uncultured bacterium
Lineage: Bacteria
Description: partial 16S ribosomal RNA
Rfam family: Bacterial small subunit ribosomal RNA
Source: RNAcentral
GACGAACGCUGGCGGCGUGCUUAACACAUGCAAGUCGAACGGAAAGGCCCUGCUUGCAGGGUACUCGAGUGGCGAACGGGUGAGUAACACGUGGGUGAUCUGCCCUGCACUUCGGGAUAAGCCUGGGAAACUGGGUCUAAUACCGGAUAGGAGCCAUUUUUAGUGUGAUGGUUGGAAAGUUUUUUCGGUGUAGGAUGAGCUCGCGGCCUAUCAGCUUGUUGGUGGGGUAAUGGCCUACCAAGGCGGCGACGGGUAGCCGGCCUGAGAGGGUGGCCGGCCACAUUGGGACUGAGAGACGGCACAGACUCCGACGGGAGGCAGCAGUGGGGAAUAUUGAACAAUGGGCGCAAGCCUGAUGCAGCGACGCCGCGGGGGGGAUGACGGCCUUCGGGUUGUAAACUCUUUUCGCUAGGGACGAAGCUUUUUGUGACGGUACCUAGAUAAGAAGCACCGGCUAACUACGUG